Non-coding RNA from Marasmius sp. AFHP31, 97 nucleotides. NCBI's taxonomy places the organism in Eukaryota, Fungi, Basidiomycota, Agaricomycetes, Agaricales, Marasmiaceae. The record is from the annotation of a GenBank genome assembly.
GCCCGCCUAGCUCAAUCGGAUAGAGCGUCAGACUUUUACGUUCGUCUAUGUAGAUCCGAAAAUCUGAAGGCUGCGAGUUCGACCCUCGCGGUGGGCU